This 464-nucleotide ribosomal RNA is filed under the name Vreelandella stevensii. Its description in RNAcentral is "partial 16S ribosomal RNA". It matches the Rfam family "Bacterial small subunit ribosomal RNA", at positions 338 to 795 of the family's 1533-position model. Lineage: Bacteria; Pseudomonadati; Pseudomonadota; Gammaproteobacteria; Oceanospirillales; Halomonadaceae. The record is from RNAcentral.
CCUACGGGGGGCUGCAGUGGGGAAUAUUGGACAAUGGGGGGAACCCUGAUCCAGCCAUGCCGCGUGUGUGAAGAAGGCCCUCGGGUUGUAAAGCACUUUCAGUGAGGAAGAACGCCUGGUGGUUAAUACCCAUCAGGAAAGACAUCACUCACAGAAGAAGCACCGGCUAACUCCGUGCCAGCAGCCGCGGUAAUACGGAGGGUGCGAGCGUUAAUCGGAAUUACUGGGCGUAAAGCGCGCGUAGGUGGCUUGAUAAGCCGGUUGUGAAAGCCCCGGGCUCAACCUGGGAACGGCAUCCGGAACUGUCAAGCUAGAGUGCAGGAGAGGAAGGUAGAAUUCCCGGUGUAGCGGUGAAAUGCGUAGAGAUCGGGAGGAAUACCAGUGGCGAAGGCGGCCUUCUGGACUGACACUGACACUGAGGUGCGAAAGCGUGGGUAGCAAACAGGAUUAGAUCCCUUGUAGUC